This 562-nucleotide ribosomal RNA is filed under the name Penicillium expansum. RNAcentral's name for it is "eukaryotic LSU rRNA". The stretch from base 169 to 321 matches the Rfam family "5.8S ribosomal RNA". Lineage: Eukaryota; Fungi; Ascomycota; Eurotiomycetes; Eurotiales; Aspergillaceae. The record is from RNAcentral.
CAUGAGGCUCUGGGUCACCUCCCACCCGUGUUUAUUUUACCUUGUUGCUUCGGCGGGCCCGCCUUAACUGGCCGCCGGGGGGCUUACGCCCCCGGGCCCGCGCCCGCCGAAGACACCCUCGAACUCUGUCUGAAGAUUGAAGUCUGAGUGAAAAUAUAAAUUAUUUAAAACUUUCAACAACGGAUCUCUUGGUUCCGGCAUCGAUGAAGAACGCAGCGAAAUGCGAUACGUAAUGUGAAUUGCAAAUUCAGUGAAUCAUCGAGUCUUUGAACGCACAUUGCGCCCCCUGGUAUUCCGGGGGGCAUGCCUGUCCGAGCGUCAUUGCUGCCCUCAAGCCCGGCUUGUGUGUUGGGCCCCGUCCCCCGAUCUCCGGGGGACGGGCCCGAAAGGCAGCGGCGGCACCGCGUCCGGUCCUCGAGCGUAUGGGGCUUUGUCACCCGCUCUGUAGGCCCGGCCGGCGCUUGCCGAUCAACCCAAAUUUUUAUCCAGGUUGACCUCGGAUCAGGUAGGGAUACCCGCUGAACUUAAGCAUAUCAAUAAGCGGAGGAAAAGAAAAUAAAGG